UACGCGUGGUUAGCCCCUUUGUCGACGAGUGUUGACAUCGUAUUUUGCAUUAGCGAUUCCAUUUGCCAUCAUUAGCUCCACUAGGCACGAACGAGUCUCGUGCAUCCGUUUCCCACAUUUACUACAAGUUUCUAUACUGACGAAAAGUAAUAUGAAGUGCAAGCAAUUCAUGAAGCUCUACAUUCCUUUGCUUUUGUUGAUCAACUUUCAUCAGAUCUCGUCCACGCCGUCGUCUGAAAAAGGAAACACUAUGAUGGACGACCCGACAGAGACUUACACCUGUCUCAAGUAUGACUACCAGAUUCAUGAAGCCCUAGCCUCUACGAAGCCACCCUUCGACAACUACUUCAACAUCUCACGUGCUAUCUUUCCAUCCGAAGAUAUAUCCUCUAAACUUGUCAAUAUCUGGGUGCAUUUUACCAACUCCUCUUUUAAUCUGACUGAGGUCAAUCAAUUGAAGUUCGUUUGGAGUCGGUCUUGUUUGUACGUCAGUGAUCGAUACCUCAGUCUUAUGGCAAUGGGCCUCUACUCCUUGUUUACCAUUUGGCCGGACAGGGGGCAAGAAGACCUUCAUAUAACACUCCAUCAGUUUUGUGAUCCAUGGCAAACAACGAGAAAGCUUAUUAACUUUUUGUCAACGCUGGAGGACAUCGCAAUAAGUCCAUCUUCGCUCAACCCAUCACUGAACAGUGUGGAAUGUGUUGCAGCCGACGGAGGCUUCGAGCAUUCUCUCCAGAACGUCAACAAAGCAUUCCCUCAAAUAUGCUGGCUCAUCCUGUUUUCUUCUCUAAAAGGAAGCAACUUGAUACGCAUGUUAGUUUUGAAAUAUUGUUGGCAACGUCGUGGGGCAAAAUCGAUUUUGUCAUUGGUGUUUGUUGCUUUCUUAUGUGGGACAUUUCUUGCGAUCGUCACUGUAAUCUAUAGUAGCCAGGCCCAAAUAAUUUACCCUUUGACGUACCUUUUAAUCAUUCUGUUCAGUUGUUUAUUUUCCUCUGUUUACUACUUGUUUCAAGCGCGUAAAAGCACCAUUAAUCAAGCGCGUAAAAGCACCAUUAAUAUUGUGUGUUUAGAAUUUAGAAAUUACGGAGAGCCGCAAUCGGGAAGUGUAUUGCUUUGGACGGCAUAUCCCGGAAUUUUCGUAGCCAUUCAUCACGCACUAUGGGUUAUGAUAGGUAUUAUUACUGAGCCUUACUGGGCCCUACCAGUGGCAACAUCUUUCAUCAUGUUUGCAUUUUUAUUCUAUGUAUUGUCUGCGCUUUAUUUCUCAACCGAAGAUUGGAAUACUUCGGCGAAAAUUAACUUUGGAUUCAUGGUUGCUGCAGGCAUAUCGGUCGUGAUGAUUCAGCUAUCGUUUCUCUUAAUCGGAAAUCAGUUCUUUGACGAAAGUCUACUUUCCAGUGCUAUUCAGAGCGCUUUGGUCGUUAUGAUAAGCAUUUGGUUCCGCUCUAUCAAAGACGAAAAAGGCUAUGACGAAACAGAUUAUGCAGGUAAUAGCAAGUCUGAAAAAAUUGAACUUGAGUAGACGAUAAAAGUCUACCACUGUUUAAUCGUUAAGAAAAUUAAUAGCAUACUUUGUUAUACUUUUUACCUAUCAUAAAACGUGAUAUGAGCGUCAUGUUGUGUCAGAAACCAGAAAAAAAAGCUUUUUACGUCUUCCUUUGUUCACUUGUCGAUAGUUACGCCGAUUAGUAAGAUCAAUGGCCAAUCUUCCUUUUGCAGAGCACUGCGACAAAUAGAAGUCAGUCCAGGCUGUCUUGAGAUAAAUAGUGACCAAGGGAGAUGGCCGAUUUAUUGCCUAAAACUUACAUCAAAAUUUGUUAUAAUUUGUUAUUUACAAAUUUCCACCUCUUAAGCACUAGAAAAUAUAAAGGCACAAUAAAAAUUCAAAUGCUGGAAGGAAGAGGGUCGGAAGAGGGUCGAGCUUGCUGAGUGUGUCAGGUCUGGAGACGAGCAAGACGAACUCGACAAAUAUGCCACUCCUUUCCCUGAUCGCUGAUGGCUCAGUUAUUUGCCAUUAAAUCUCGUGGCGCUAAGAUACCAAUGUCACUAGUUAGCCUUGUGAAGGUUUCAUGAUUACUACUCACUCCAUUUUAGAAUUCGAAGCUGACUCUGUUCUAGGCCUAUCUCUGGCCUAUCUAUUAACCCAUUUGGUACUAUAAACAAUAAUUCACUCCAGUAAGUGAACUGAUGUGGAUCGCAACAUUGAUAUUCUGCCACACAUUCAUUACGAUUUACACUGCAUGAGUGGCCAUAUGUGAUUCAGUGUGUGAGAGCUGAGCCCAUCGCGCCUUAGGAGAUAUUUAAGUUGUGGAACAGUUGAAUUAAUGAGUGAAUUAAACAUCCUGUAUAGUGUGAUUGACAUCGAUGCAUUGAUGCAUUGACUUUGUAAAGUUGUGCUCUCAUUCCCAUCAACUUGUUUGGAAAUACCGCACUUUGUUAAGUGGGUCUCCGUAGUUGUUUGACAGGAAAAAUCACCGUGAUCUUUACCAUGAAAAUAUUGCAAGGACUUUUGCAGCCCUCACCAAAGAAGGCGUUGUAUAUGGUGAGCACUGGAGAAAGUACAGAAAGGAGGGGGAUUGGAUGUGCAGUAAAAUUUAAAAAAAAUUACUAUGUGCUCACGUGUAGAGAUGUUGCCAGCCCUGAAGACGCGGGAGCAGACCACGAGCACAAAUUCAUCUUAGAUCGCUUUUGUUCGCGUUUUCCAAAGCAUACAGACAGACAUCGCCAGAAAAUCCAGGAUGUUCGGUACGAUAACAAGUUUAGUGUUCUCCGUCUGCCAAACAGGAAAGUUUUGAGUUCGUAUUUCCCUUUGGAUGUAGAAGAUGAAGGGAACGAGAAAGUAUACUCAUACUAUCUCUGCAAUGAUGGAAAAGGAGUGGAACCUAUUGAUUGGUCGCACGAUAGUGUAAGCGGGAAGUACUCCAUUGGCCGCGAUGACCUCGACAGCAAAGACUUUCUUGGUUCACCGGUGCUAUAUUCUGAUGGGAGGCGGGGUAAAACCUUCGUGGUCGGGGUGGUCGGUAAGGAAGGCAACGGAUUUUACCCGAUGUUCCUCGAAAGAGCCUCACCUUUCAAUCCCGGUGUUCCCAAUCAAGUGGAGAUUGGGGAAUGUCCAAGUGAAAUACUUGAAGGCAGCAUGAUCUUGACGUGGAUAGCACCUAAAGAAAAUGGAGCAGUGAUAACUGAGUACAUAGUCUAUCAAAGAGAAGUGAAUGAAAAUGGCUCAGAUUCUGACUGGGAAAGAAAGCCAACUGGUCAAGUCGUUCUUCAACAUGAAGUCAUCGGUUUAAAAAGUAGAAAAAUGUACGAAUUCCAAGUAACUGCCGAAAACUGGUGUGGUGAGAGCGCGAGAGAGGAGGACAAGACAAUCAGAGUAAAAGUGUUUGGUGUUCCCAAUCAAGUAAAAAUUGUAGAAUAUCCAAGUGAAAUAACUGAAGACAGAGUGACCUUGAGGUGGAGAGCACCCGAAGACAAUGGAACAGUGAUAACAGCGUAUACGGUCUACCAAAGAGAAUUGACGGAAGACGGCUCAGUUUCUGACUGGGAAAGAAAGUCAACUGGUCCAGGACAUCAACUUCAUCAGGAAGUGUCUGGGUUAGAAAGCGAGAAAACGUACCAAUUCCAAGUGACUGCCACAAACCAGUAUGGUGAGAGGUCAAGGGUUGAGGACGGUCCCUACAUAGUCCAAAUUGCUUGUGUUUCAGCUCCUUCUUUAUUGGAUAUUUCGUGGAUUUUCGAGUAUUGGUGGAAUGGAACGAACGGUAUUUGUUACAGUAUGCAGUAAAUUACUCAGGGAUGUUGAGUAGCAGAAGAGUUGGAUGCAAAAAAGUUGGGAACGGGGUUGAAGAGGCCCUGGACAUCGAAACUGAACCAGACAGUUGGUUGGAGUAAUUUAAUGUAAUAUAAAAUAAUAUUAGCCACGGAAUUUAGACUGACUUACAUCAGAUUUAGUUUAUGUUGAUUAGCUUAUACGAAAAAAGUGGAUAGCGCUAAAUGCGCACUCUGAUAGGCUGCUCAAACUCCGAAUGUCCUUUGCUACUCACCUUUUAGGAACUCGUGCGGAAUUUGAAACUGAAAAUGACUUUGGUCAUCGGUGCAGAAAUGAAUGAGUUGAAAUAAUCUUUGUGUGCUUUGGUAUAUAUCAAAACAAGUAUUCGCCUCGGAGCAGUCGAAGUGAUGAAAUUAAAUCACGUUUCAGGACUUUGAUUUCCGACCCUUUUUUGGUAUGAUGACCGUAAAGUAACUUAGAAAGAUAUUGUUUACUGUCGAAUCAAUCGAAGGAACUUUCGUAUAUUUAAAAUAUUAAUUCUCUCUAACAAUUUGUUCGUUGUAAAACGGCAGGCUAAGUUUUUAAUUCAACUAUAAAUACACUUUCGUUAAGUCUGUUCAAUUUUGACAUUAGUACCAUAAAUUUCACAACAGAAGCCGAAGGAAUUCAGUAAGAAAAUGCUGUAUUAAAUCCCCUUGUGUCUAACUAAAUUGUCUCAUUAACUGAAUCUUUUUGGCGGAAGAAAGACUUGCAGAUCCUACACACGUCUCUGCCGCAUAUAAACGAGCAAACUUUUACAACUUCAAAACAUACAUUUGAAUUUACUUACAAUUACUUUCCUUGCCCUUUAUGGACUGAUAAGAGGUAUGUCUUUGUAUGUCAAUCGUCGAUGGAAGUGAACAAUGGUUUCCAUAAGAUCUUUGACUGUUUUUAAAGAAAAACUGUCCUGACAGCCAUUGAACUUGAUUUUUUUUUCCAAACCAGUACCACUUUUUUUUUUUUUAUUUCAAAAGUGUACGCUGAGCGCUUUUUUUCUUACGCGCUCUCUAAUGAAAAAGUGUCAGAUCGUGAGAGAUGCCUGUAAAAAAGUGUUUCAAAUCACCAUUUUCAUUACGCAAAUGAAAUUGUUUUAGUGAAGCCUAACUCUCAAUUUGCAGCAACGCUGUUUUUUCUACAUAACUAUCUACUUGCGCAAAAAUUCCUCAGCUUACGGAGGAUCUUGCCGUAUUUAGAGUCCUAAAUCCAUCGGGUUCUUUUAGCAAAGAUUUCGUCAGGUUUUAGAAAAAAGUAAAAAUGUUAUUCACCAGCCAAGGUCGUUCAGAAUUGGGAAAAACUGUGCCCUCUGUAGGCCUCGGGCGGUACUCAAGA
This is an RNA transcript of Stylophora pistillata, 5137 nucleotides long. It is a transcript of the gene named cell adhesion molecule-related/down-regulated by oncogenes, with no coding region annotated. The record is from RefSeq and is a predicted model, not a curated record. NCBI's taxonomy places the organism in Eukaryota, Metazoa, Cnidaria, Anthozoa, Scleractinia, Pocilloporidae.